This 586-nucleotide ribosomal RNA is filed under the name Filobasidium magnum. RNAcentral describes it as "partial large subunit ribosomal RNA". It matches the Rfam family "Eukaryotic large subunit ribosomal RNA", at positions 81 to 653 of the family's 3401-position model. The record is from RNAcentral. Lineage: Eukaryota; Fungi; Basidiomycota; Tremellomycetes; Filobasidiales; Filobasidiaceae.
UAGUAACGGCGAGUGAAGCGGGAAGAGCUCAAAUUUGAAAUCUGGUGGCCUCAGGUCAUCCGAGUUGUAAUCUAUAGAAGUGUUUUCCGUGCUGGCUCAUGUACAAGUCCCUUGGAACAGGGCGUCAUAGAGGGUGAGAAUCCCGUCCUUGACAUGAACUACCAGUGCUCUGUGAUACAUUUUCAACGAGUCGAGUUGUUUGGGAAUGCAGCUCAAAAUGGGUGGUAAAUUCCAUCUAAAGCUAAAUAUUGGCGAGAGACCGAUAGCGAACAAGUACCGUGAGGGAAAGAUGAAAAGCACUUUGGAAAGAGAGUUAAACAGUAUGUGAAAUUGUUGAAAGGGAAACGAUUGAAGUCAGUCGUGCUCUUUGGAUUCAGCCGGUUCUGCCGGUGUACUUCCUUUGAGUGGGGUCAACAUCAGUUUUGAUCGCUGGAUAAAGGCUGGAGGAACGUAGUACCCUCGGGUAAACUUAUAGCCUCCUGUCACAUACAGUGGUUGGGACUGAGGAACGCAGCACGCCUUUAUGGCCGGGAUUCGUCCACGUACGUGCUUAGGAUGUUGACAUAAUGGCUUUAAACGACCCGUC